RNAcentral lists this ribosomal RNA (263 nucleotides) under uncultured bacterium. RNAcentral's name for it is "partial 16S ribosomal RNA". It matches the Rfam family "Bacterial small subunit ribosomal RNA", at positions 793 to 1055 of the family's 1533-position model. The record is from RNAcentral.
GUCCUAGCCGUAAACAAUGGAUACUAGGUGUUGAACAGAUCGACCUGUGCAGUACCAAAGCUAACGCGUUAAGUAUCCCGCCUGGGAAGUAUGCACGCAAGUGUGAAACUCAAAGGAAUUGACGGGGGCCCGCACAAGCGGUGGAGCAUGUGGUUUAAUUCGAUGCAACGCGAAGAACCUUACCAGGGUUUGACAUGAUACGAAUUUUUUUGAAAGAAAAAGUGCCUUUUGGAACGUAUACACAGGUGGUGCAUGGCUGUCGU